UACAGAGGCCCCGAGCAUUAUCCGGAUUUACUGGGCGUAAAGGGUGCGUAGGUGGUCAUGUUAGUCUCCUGUUAAAACUCCGGGCUCAACCCGGAGAUCGCGGGGGAAACGGCAUGACUGGAGGACGUGAGGGGUGAUCGGAACUCUCGGUGUAGGGGUGAAAUCCGUUGAUAUCGAGGGGAACACCAAAAGCGAAGGCAGAUCACUGGCGCGUUCCUGACACUGAAGCACGAAAGCGUGGGUAGCGAACGGG
Molecule: unclassified non-coding RNA, 253 nt
Filed under: uncultured Parcubacteria group bacterium
Lineage: Bacteria
Description: contains 16S-23S intergenic spacer region
Rfam family: Bacterial small subunit ribosomal RNA
Source: RNAcentral